RNAcentral lists this ribosomal RNA (409 nucleotides) under Acidobacteriota bacterium. Its description in RNAcentral is "Acidobacteria bacterium partial 16S ribosomal RNA". It matches the Rfam family "Bacterial small subunit ribosomal RNA", at positions 355 to 776 of the family's 1533-position model. Lineage: Bacteria; Pseudomonadati; Acidobacteriota. The record is from RNAcentral.
UGGGGAAUAUUGCACAAUGGGCGAAAGCCUGAUGCAGCGACGCCGCGUGAGGGAUGACGGCCUUCGGGUUGUAAACCUCUUUCAGCAGGGACGAAGCGCAAGUGACGGUACCUGCAGAAGAAGCACCGGCUAACUACGUGCCAGCAGCCGCGGUAAUACGUAGGGUGCAAGCGUUGUCCGGAAUUACUGGGCGUAAAGAGUUCGUAGGCGGUUUGUCGCGUCGUUUGUGAAAACCAGCAGCUCAACUGCUGGCUUGCAGGCGAUACGGGCAGACUGGAGUACUGCAGGGGAGAGUGGAAUUCCUGGUGUAGCGGUGAAAUGCGCAGAUAUCAGGAGGAACACCGGUGGCGAAGGCGGGUCUCUGGGCAGUAACUGACGCUGAGGAACGAAAGCGUGGGUAGCGAACAGG